CAAUUUGAAUAAUUAUUCUGUAAAACGAAUUGCGCGAAUGAUCUGAAAUUUUGCACAAACAUUAGUGGUCUAAACCUAAAUCAAAUGAUAUAUUUAUCUGGAAAAAAUAUUUCCAGUCCCAUAUUGUCGAAAAAAAACUCAGUGGAGUCCCUUUAACAUGUAACAUAACAUGUAAUCAACGGGUAAAAUGAAUCAAAUUGCGUCCAUAUACAGCCACGGGUGACCAAUGAAAUCGUGUUUAGCAAAAAUUUAUAUUCUUCGGCAGCAAAGGUAAACAACGCCCACGAUGUAAACCUGUUUCACUUUUCUUGUCAAUAUAAAAGGCAAAACUAUCCCAAAACUAAGUUAUUCCACGAAAGUAUAUUUUUUCUAGAAUUGAUGUUUCACCAAACGUCCCACACAACACCCGGUGCACACAACGAGCGUUUUAAUCUCCUCAUGGAUUCGCGACUCGAUAAAUGUUAAUGGUUCGGCCGUCGGUAUCAGACGAUGGGAUCUGAUGAGGUACCGUAGUUUUUUGCCUGAUUCACAAGGAGUUUCAACGAUCGUUUUGUCAGCUUCCCAGCUCAGCCUGAGCACGUUUGUUAGCCAACGAAGUUUGAACAUUAUCCUUCUUGUAUGUUGUCCGAGCUUUAUGAAAUACACUCGCAAUAAGUAAGUUCUUAUGUAAAUUGGUCCCACCACGUUGUUGUGUGGACAUUGCUAUUUUCCCGCGAGACAGAGCAAUUAAUCGUUGUGCCUCCGUUGAAGAACUCAUUUUGAUCUCUAAUAUUACAUAUGAUAUGUGAAUAUAAUGUUUUGCAGAUGAUGUACUUUGUAAAAUCUUCAUAAAAUUUCAGCUCUGUUCUAAUCAAUCCAAAGAACUAAUUAGUCCAAAUAAUAACUUUCAAAACUUAAAAAUCCUACUGUCUAAGAUCAAUAUCAAUUUAUCUAUAAACACCGCGAAUACAU
This is a long non-coding RNA of Ruditapes philippinarum (Manila clam), 951 nucleotides long. RefSeq lists it as uncharacterized. The transcript has 2 exons. NCBI's taxonomy places the organism in Eukaryota, Metazoa, Mollusca, Bivalvia, Venerida, Veneridae. The record is from RefSeq and is a predicted model, not a curated record.